Gossypium raimondii (Peruvian cotton) is the source of this 112-nucleotide non-coding RNA. NCBI's taxonomy places the organism in Eukaryota, Viridiplantae, Streptophyta, Magnoliopsida, Malvales, Malvaceae. The record is from Rfam.
AAUCCAUGCAUCGGACAUUUCUGAAUUAACUCCUUAAAUCGUUCCCAAGCUUCAUAUAGAGUUUUGUCUUUCAUUUGCCGAAAAGAUGUGAUGUGAUGUCAUUUCUAAGUUU